UGGCGGGCGAGCGAUGUACCUGCUCGGGGAAGCGACUGCGCUCGAAUCAUUUCCUCGUCGUGGAUUUCAGGGGAGUCGGGCGCUACGGGAAAACCAAGCGGUGUUUUGGAAGGGCUGUCCUGAGAUCCUGGUGGGGAUCGGUGGAUGCCUUUGGCCAUUCGCUAUUCGAGGAAUUGUCUGGGAUCAAGUGAGCUUUACCUUCAGCUUCCGGAGGGAUCGAUGAAGCUUUCUUCGGGACUGGCAGAGAGUUUGUGAUGGAUCCUGGUUAAGAAGAAAUCGUGGGAGUUCAAAUGAAAUUACCUUUGUUCCUGUGAAUCUUGAUCUCUUCUGCCCAGUCCCGAGAACCGAAAGUUUGGAAUGGAAGGGAUCUAACGAGAUUAGUUUAGCCCUUCCCACCGUCUUCUUUUCUUCCUUUCGACCAAAUGGAUCUAUGCUUGGAGAGCUCUUUCCGCUUAGAAAUGAUACUGCCUUGGAAAUAUAUAUAUACAUACAUACAUACAUAUACACAUGCGGUAUACAUCUGCCUCUUGGGGGAAGCAGCGACGUCUUGGGGGUGAAGACGCCUCUAUUUCUUACCGGACCGACCAAGGAAAGUCACCGGGGGAUGCCUGCCUGUCGUUCUCUGAUCUGGAUAUAACGCUUCGCAGUGAUGCUUUCCUUCUCUCGCCUCCUCUCCCUCGUCCCUGAGUUCUGGCGUUUUGCCAUUCAUAAAUAAGCUUGGAGGCGCCUUUGGCAUCCCGUGUUUGUGGAAUAUAAUGGGUGGCUGCCUCCUGUCACUUUUGUUCUCCGUGGAAGGAUUACGUACCAGAAGGAAAUCGAUAAUUGGGAUCCAGAAAGAUGCUGACAGAAAGGCUGUCUCUGGAGAAAAGACCUCGCUUGAUGGAAAAUACCACUUUUAUAAAUUAUGAAAUUGAUUUUUUAUGUAACCCAUCUUGUGUAAGAUCCAAAAUAGAUACAAACUGUGACUGAAGAAAUCGGAGCCUAUCCCCUUUAGUCAUGUGGAAAGCCAGGAAGAAAUAAAUCCAUCAUCUAAACAUAUCUUCAUAUCUUUUCAACUUUGCCAAUUUUUGAUCUAAGCUUCAGAAAACCAUAAAACUGUGAAUGGUACCUCGAAUUUAGCUUUGGAAUAAAUAUAAAUAGAGAUACAUUAGAAAUUUACCUUCUCUACAUAAAAUAAUCUUUAUGGACAAAAAUGGAAUGAUACUUUGAUUCCCACAAUGGAUGAAUGGCUACAAAAGUUGAUGAAAUUAGUUUUGAUUAAAUUAAAAAAAACCAACCCAAUUACUUUUGUUUCUACUUGGAAACCACUUCUUGAGGUGGCAAAAAAUGAAAUUUUGAUUUAGGCUUUUACCAAUUAGAUAGGUUUGUUGUUAUCAAAAUGGCUAGUUCCAUACUAUUAUGUAAAAGUAAAAAGUUGAGGUUUGGUGCUGUUAUCUUAUUCUGCUGCACCAAAGGGAGUCAUAAGCCUUUUCUUUCUUCUCCCCCUUUUCCCUAUACUCUUCCCUUCCCUUCUCCCUCCCCUACUUUCCCACUAUUUUCUUUGGUAUUUUUGUAUUUUACAUUAUAAACUAAUAAAAAAAUCAAAAUAAAUUUAUCAUCUCUGAAAAGUAAAGGAAUUAAACACUU
Ahaetulla prasina is the source of this 1626-nucleotide long non-coding RNA. RefSeq lists it as uncharacterized. Lineage: Eukaryota; Metazoa; Chordata; Lepidosauria; Squamata; Colubridae. The record is from RefSeq and is a predicted model, not a curated record. The transcript is spliced from 2 exons.